RNAcentral lists this ribosomal RNA (1174 nucleotides) under Halomonas sp. FIB25. Its description in RNAcentral is "bacterial SSU rRNA". It matches the Rfam family "Bacterial small subunit ribosomal RNA", at positions 224 to 1390 of the family's 1533-position model. Lineage: Bacteria; Pseudomonadati; Pseudomonadota; Gammaproteobacteria; Oceanospirillales; Halomonadaceae. The record is from RNAcentral.
GAUGAGCCUAUGUCGGAUUAGCUUGUUGGUGAGGUAAUGGCUCACCAAGGCGACGAUCCGUAGCUGGUCUGAGAGGAUGAUCAGCCACAUCGGGACUGAGACACGGCCCGAACUCCUACGGGAGGCAGCAGUGGGGAAUAUUGGACAAUGGGCGAAAGCCUGAUCCAGCCAUGCCGCGUGUGUGAAGAAGGCUUUCGGGUUGUAAAGCACUUUCAGUGAGGAAGAACGCCUUCGGCUUAAUACGCCGGAGGAAAGACUUCACUCACAGAAGAAGCACCGGCUAACUCCGUGCCAGCAGCCGCGGUAAUACGGAGGGUGCGAGCGUUAAUCGGAAUUACUGGGCGUAAAGCGCGCGUAGGUGGCUUGAUAAGCCGGUUGUGAAAGCCCCGGGCUCAACCUGGGAACGGCAUCCGGAACUGUCAGGCUACAGUGCAGGAGAGGAAGGUAGAAUUCCCGGUGUAGCGGUGAAAUGCGUAGAGAUCGGGAGGAAUACCAGUGGCGAAGGCGGCCUUCUGGACUGACACUGACACUGAGGUGCGAAAGCGUGGGUAGCAAACAGGAUUAGAUACCCUGGUAGUCCACGCCGUAAACGAUGUCGACUAGCCGUUGGGGUCCUUGAGACCUUUGUGGCGCAGUUAACGCGAUAAGUCGACCCGCCUGGGGAGUACGGCCGCAAGGUUAAAACUCAAAUGAAUUGACGGGGGCCCGCACAAGCGGUGGAGCAUGUGGUUUAAUUCGAUGCAACGCGAAGAUCCUUACCUACCCUUGACAUCGAGAGAACUUUCCAGAGAUGGAUUGGUGCCUUCGGGAACUCUCAGACAGGUGCUGCAUGGCUGUCGUCAGCUCGUGUUGUGAAAUGUUGGGUUAAGUCCCGUAACGAGCGCAACCCUUGUCCCUAUUUGCCAGCGAUUCGGUGGGGAACUCUAGGGAGACUGCCGGUGACAAACCGGAGGAAGGUGGGGACGACGUCAAGUCAUCAUGGCCCUUACGGGUAGGGCUACACACGUGCUACAAUGGUCGGUACAAUGGGUUGCGAAGCCGCGAGGUGGAGCUAAUCCCAUAAAGCCGGUCUCAGUCCGGAUCGGAGUCUGCAACUCGACUCCGUGAAGUCGGAAUCGCUAGUAAUCGUGAAUCAGAAUGUCACGGUGAAUACGUUCCCGGGCCUUGUACACAC